GGGAGGAAAAGAAACUAACAAGGAUUUUCUUAGUAGCGGCGAGCGAAAAGAAAAUAGUUCAGCACUAAGUCACUUUGUCUUUAUGGCAAAUGUGAGAUGCAGUGUAUGGAAUGUCAAAUUUCUAGUAUGAGAAAUUAACGAUUUAAGUCCUUCUUAAAUGAGGCCAUUUACCCAUAGAGGGUGCCAGGCCCGUAUAACGUUAAUGAUUACUAGAUGGCAUUUCCAAAGAGUCGUGUUGCUUGAUAGUGCAGCACUAAGUGGGUGGUAAACUCCAUCUAAAACUAAAUAUAACCAUGAGACCGAUAGUAAACAAGUACCGUGAGGGAAAGUUGAAAAGAACUCUGAAUAGAGAGUUAAAUAGUACGUGAAACUGCUUAGAGGUUAAGCCCGAUGAACCUGAAUAUCCAUUAUGGAAAAUUCAUCAUUAUGAUUUUAAUAUUUAUAAUAUUAUAAUAAUGGUGUGCAUUUUUUCUAUAAAGGACAUUGUAAUCUAUUAAUAUUACAAAAUUUAUCAUAAGAUCGAUUGCGUAAGUUUAUUCGAAUUAUUUUGCUUGCAAUUUAACAGAGAAUAAAUGCUCUCGAUUUGAUAAAGUGUUGAUAGAUUUAUUAUAUAUAGUGCUUAAAUAUAUUUAUAUAUUUUAUAAUAGCAUAUUAAUCAUAGAUUUUUAUGUUUAUUAUAUGCACUUAUAUGAUUAACAAUGCGAAAGAUUCAGGAUACCUUCGGGACCCGUCUUGAAACACGGACCAAGGAGUCUAACAUAUUUGCAAGUUAUUGGGAAUAAAAACCUAAUAGCGAAAUUAACAUAACUUAUAUAUAAUGGGAUUAGUUUUUAGCCUAUUUAUAGUCUAUUAAUUCAAUCCCGGGGCGUUCUAUACAGUUAUGUAUAAUAGUAUUUAUACUAUUUAUACCUCUAACUAGAGCGUACCUUGAGCAUAUAUGCUGUGACCCGAAAGAUGGUGAACUAUACUUGAUCAGGUUGAAGUCAGGGGAAACCCUGAUGGAAGACCGAAACAG
This 1015-nucleotide ribosomal RNA is filed under the name Rhyncomya soyauxi. Its description in RNAcentral is "eukaryotic LSU rRNA". It matches the Rfam family "Eukaryotic large subunit ribosomal RNA", at positions 51 to 883 of the family's 3401-position model. Lineage: Eukaryota; Metazoa; Arthropoda; Insecta; Diptera; Rhiniidae. The record is from RNAcentral.